CCUACGGGAGGCAGCAGUCGAGAAUCAUUCACAAUGGGGGAAACCCUGAUGGUGCGACGCCGCGUGGGGGAAUGAAGGUCUUCGGAUUGUAAACCCCUGUCAUGUGGGAGCAAAUUAAAAAGAUAGUACCACAAGAGGAAGAGACGGCUAACUCUGUGCCAGCAGCCGCGGUAAUACAGAGGUCUCAAGCGUUGUUCGGAAUCACUGGGCGUAAAGCGUGCGUAGGCUGUUUCGUAAGUCGUGUGUGAAAGGCGCGGGCUCAACCCGCGGACGGCACAUGAUACUGCGAGACUAGAGUAAGGGAGGGGGAACCGGAAUUCUCGGUGGAGCAGUGAAAUGCGUAGAUAUCGAGAGGAACACUCGUGGCGAGGGCGGGUUCCUGGACAUUAACUGACGCUGAGGCACGAAGGCCAGGGGAGCGAAAGGGAUUAGAGACCCGAGUAGUC
This 446-nucleotide ribosomal RNA is filed under the name uncultured bacterium. Its description in RNAcentral is "partial 16S ribosomal RNA". It matches the Rfam family "Bacterial small subunit ribosomal RNA", at positions 338 to 795 of the family's 1533-position model. The record is from RNAcentral.